GAUGAACGCUGGCGGCGUGCCUAAUACAUGCAAGUCGAGCGAAUGCUUUAAGAGCUUGCUCUUAUGAAGUUAGCGGCGGACGGGUGAUUAACACGUGGUUAACCUGCCCAUACGACUGGGAUACCUCCGCGAAACCGGGGCUACUACCGGAUAACAUUUUGAACCUCGUUGUUCGAGAUUUAAAUUCGGCUGUUGCUGUCACUUAUGGAUGGCCCCGCGUCGCAUUAUCGCGGUUGUGAGGUAAGGGCGCACCAAGGCAACGCUGCGUAGCCGCCCUGACAGGCGAAGAUGCCAAGCUGGGACUGGGACACGACCCAGCACACUACGGGAGGCAGACGUAGGGGAUCUUCAGGAAUGGAAGAAAGGCUGAAGAAGCAACGCUGCGUGAGUGAUGAAGGCUGUCGGGUCGCAAAACUCUGUUGUUAGGGAAGAACAAGAGGUAGUUGAAUACGCGGGCAUAUUGACGGUACCGAGACAGAAAGCCACGGCUAACUACGUG
Molecule: ribosomal RNA, 499 nt
Filed under: uncultured bacterium
Lineage: Bacteria
Description: partial 16S ribosomal RNA
Rfam family: Bacterial small subunit ribosomal RNA
Source: RNAcentral